ACACCGACGGCGACGAACUUCGCCUUUUGGUGUGUGCGUGUGGUUCUCUCGCUGCCAGCCCAGCCGCGUUAGCGUCGUCCCUCAUUCCGCCCUCAAUGAGCACCACGGCGUAUGCCUUGGUCGCAAACGAAAGGCAGUACCCUCUCCAGGUGGGGAAGAAUGUAGUCGGCCGCAGUAGCGUCCCUGUAGAGGGCGUCUCCUUCAUCAACUUGGAAUCGCCGCUGGCAGCGAUCAGCCGCAUGCAAGCGUUCGUAGACAUCGGCGCCAACGGCGAUGCGUGGAUCAGCGACUGCAAUAGCACCAACGGCACCUUCCUUAGCAUACGCCCCGGGCCGGGCAUUCGACUCGAGGCAAAUCGCUACUACCAGCUAUCGCCGGGAUGCCGCAUUGUGUUUGGGGACGUGGUGUGCACUUUCGAGACGCUGAGCGAGGCACUGCAGGCGCCGGAGCACCCAGAGCACCCUCUUACGUCUCUCUCUCUCCCCACACGCAAGACGGAGUCCCUGGGUGUCAUCGAUGCCUUCACCGACAGCGCGGCCAAGACCACCCCGCUAAGGCAUCCGUCAAAGCAGGCCAACGCGCACCGGAGUAACGUUCCCUACCUCGACGAAAGUGGAAGCCUCUCGCGGGAGCCUGCUGCGUUGCGUGAAACAGUCUCCACAACGAAGAAAGCCCCACGCCGCGAGCGACGAGAGCCGACAGCGCCGUCGCCACCGCUAAAGCGGACCAAGGUAGAGUCUGCGGCACCGUCCUCGUCUCUCAAGGUAGAGACCGCCGCCACUGCGAAAGCCACGACAGCCGCACGAGCACAUGCGGCACGGCCACAUGUGUGUCUGACGGGGAUGGACAGCGAUGAACGGGCGGCCGUUACAAAGCGAGUGCGUGAGCUGAAGGGCCGUGUCGUGGAUGACAUCACCAAAGCAAAUCUCCUCGUCGUAGCAGCACCGCCGGUCCGAACACCAAAGUUCAUCGUUGCCGUGGCACGGGGCAUUCCGGUGGUGUCGGUAGAUUACAUCUGUAACCGGAGGGCCGCGCUCGACGACGCGCGCCAUCAUAUCGUGGGUCUCAAGACAGACCAGCACACCUACACGGCAGCAGAGCUGAAGAAGGUGAUUUAUCGAAAAGAUGCAUCCCCACUUCUGCAGGGUGUUUCGUUCAACAUCGCUGCGUUGUCCACCAAGACGAAGAGUGUGGCGGCGGAGAUCAUCUCCUCCUCGGGGGGAGAGGUGGUGAGCACCAAAAAGGGCGGCGGCACAGCCCUAACAGACGAACAGCUCGACAAGCUCUACGACUCCAUCCUGCGUGGUAAGGUGUCCGACGUGUUGUAGUGUGCAAUCGCACAGACGCCCGGCAACGAGAGAGAGAGAGAGAGAGAUCCAGUGUUCUCGACAAGCACCGCAUCAUCACGUCACGCAUAGAUACGUGCAACACAAGCGUUGCGCAUUUCACGAAACAAACGCGCGGAAGAACUGUCGUGUCGUUCCCCAAUGUGGUGAUGCGCUUUUGCCGGUUCUCGAAUGUGAUGCUGGAGGCGCCAGCAGGAAGCUGAUCGCAGUCUCUUUGAAUCUGUGCGCAUACUUAUCGCCCCGCGCCUGGGGUGACCGGCGCGGCACCUUGCGCGGUGACGUCGGCUGCACCGAGAGGCCGCCGAGUAGUCUCAUGAUUUCUCUCUCGAUCACUUCUCUUUCAUGACCGCCACUGCCGUGCGUCACAGCCCCCGUCAGUGCUUCGGGGCAGCCGUUGUGCGUCGACUUGAGCCAUCUCACUUCAUUUCUCUUCGCUGCCGCGCACGUGCCGUUGCCUCACCGUUUCUAUUCCUCAAUCGCGACCCUCUCCUCUCUCUCUGCUGUGUUUCUCUUCGCUUCUGCCGCCGCCACUUGGGGUGCGCGCCAUCACUGGAGUACUGUACACGUCGGCAAG
Molecule: unclassified non-coding RNA, 1920 nt
Filed under: Leishmania donovani
Lineage: Eukaryota; Euglenozoa; Kinetoplastea; Trypanosomatida; Trypanosomatidae
Description: gene:LdHU3.34.6380(CDS-product:FHA_domain/BRCA1_C _Terminus_(BRCT)_domain/twin_BRCT_domain_containing_protein _putative)
Source: RNAcentral